AUGUCCAUGGUCUAAUGGUUAUGAUGCCGGUCUCCAAAACCGUGCGGUCCGGGUUCAAAUCCUGGUGGGCAUGCCA
Molecule: transfer RNA, 76 nt
Filed under: Gluconobacter oxydans
Lineage: Bacteria; Pseudomonadati; Pseudomonadota; Alphaproteobacteria; Acetobacterales; Acetobacteraceae
Also listed under: 1 other name
Description: tRNA-Trp
Rfam family: tRNA
About the family: Transfer RNA (tRNA) molecules are approximately 80 nucleotides in length.
Source: RNAcentral